UUACUCCUACGGGAGGCAGCAGUGGGGUAUACUUGGACAAUGGGCGCAAGCCUGAUCCAGCCAUGCCGCGUGUGUGAAGAAGGCCUUAUGGUUGUAAAGCACUUUAAGCGAGGAGGAGGCUACUUUAAUUAAUACCUAUAGAUAGUGGACGUUACUCGCAGAAUAAGCACCGGCUAACUCUGUGCCAGCAGCCGCGGUAAUAA
This 203-nucleotide ribosomal RNA is filed under the name uncultured Acinetobacter sp. RNAcentral describes it as "partial 16S ribosomal RNA". It matches the Rfam family "Bacterial small subunit ribosomal RNA", at positions 333 to 526 of the family's 1533-position model. The record is from RNAcentral. Lineage: Bacteria; Pseudomonadati; Pseudomonadota; Gammaproteobacteria; Moraxellales; Moraxellaceae.